GCGGAUCAGCCCGCGCCCCGUAAAACGGGACGGCCCGCCAGAGGACCCAAACUCUAAUGUUUCUUAUUGUAACUUCUGAGUAAAACAAACAAAUAAAUCAAAACUUUCAACAACGGAUCUCUUGGUUCUGGCAUCGAUGAAGAACGCAGCAAAAUGCGAUAAGUAAUGUGAAUUGCAGAAUUCAGUGAAUCAUCGAAUCUUUGAACGCACAUUGCGCCCGCUGGUAUUCCGGCGGGCAUGCCUGUUCGAGCGUCAUUUCAACCCUCAAGCCCCCGGGUUUGGUGUUGGGGAUCGGCUCUGCCCUUCUGGGCGGUGCCGCCCCCGAAAUACAUUGGCGGUCUCGCUGCAGCCUCCAUUGCGUAGUAGCUAACACCUCGCAACUGGAACGCGGCGCGGCCAUGCCGUAAAACCCCAACUUCUGAAUGUUGACCUCGGAUCAGGUAGGAAUACCCGCUGAACUUAA
This 463-nucleotide ribosomal RNA is filed under the name Fusarium tricinctum. Its description in RNAcentral is "eukaryotic LSU rRNA". The stretch from base 102 to 255 matches the Rfam family "5.8S ribosomal RNA". The record is from RNAcentral. Lineage: Eukaryota; Fungi; Ascomycota; Sordariomycetes; Hypocreales; Nectriaceae.